RNAcentral lists this ribosomal RNA (527 nucleotides) under Acidaminococcus sp. HGA0003. Its description in RNAcentral is "bacterial SSU rRNA". It matches the Rfam family "Bacterial small subunit ribosomal RNA", at positions 112 to 615 of the family's 1533-position model. Lineage: Bacteria; Bacillati; Bacillota; Negativicutes; Acidaminococcales; Acidaminococcaceae. The record is from RNAcentral.
AACGCGUGGGCAACCUGCCCUCCAGUUGGGGACAACAUUCCGAAAGGGAUGCUAAUACCGAAUGUGCUCCCUCCUCCGCAUGGAGGAGGGAGGAAAGAUGGCCUCUGCUUGCAAGCUAUCGCUGGAAGAUGGGCCCGCGUCUGAUUAGCUAGUUGGUGGGGUAACGGCUCACCAAGGCGAUGAUCAGUAGCCGGUCUGAGAGGAUGAACGGCCACAUUGGGACUGAGACACGGCCCAAACUCCUACGGGAGGCAGCAGUGGGGAAUCUUCCGCAAUGGACGAAAGUCUGACGGAGCAACGCCGCGUGAGUGAUGAAGGUCUUCGGAUUGUAAAACUCUGUUGUUAGGGACGAAAGCACCGUGUUCGAACAGGUCAUGGUGUUGACGGUACCUAACGAGGAAGCCACGGCUAACUACGUGCCAGCAGCCGCGGUAAUACGUAGGUGGCAAGCGUUGUCCGGAAUUAUUGGGCGUAAAGAGCAUGUAGGCGGGCUUUUAAGUCUGACGUGAAAAUGCGGGGCUUAACCC